GCGCAGCAGGCGCGAAACUUCACAAUGUGCGAAAGCACGAUGAGGGAAUCCCAAGUGCUUGCACGUAAGUGUAAGCUGUUUCUCUGUCUAAAACGCAGAGAGAGUAAGGGCUGGGUAAGACGGGUGCCAGCCGCCGCGGUAAUACCUGCAGCUCGAGUGGUGACCGUUAUUAUUGGGCCUAAAACGUCCGUAGCCGGUUUAAUAAAUGCCUGGGUAAAUCGGACCGCUUAACGGUUCGAAUUCCGGGUAGACUGUUAAACUUGAGACCGGGAGAAGUUAGAGGUACUCCUGGGGUAGAGGUGAAAUUCUGUAAUCCUAGGGGGACCACCAGUGGCGAAGGCGUCUAACUAGAACGGGUCUGACGGUGAGGGACGAAGCCCCUGGGGCGCAAAACGGGGAUUAGAUACCCCCCGUAGU
RNAcentral lists this ribosomal RNA (417 nucleotides) under uncultured microorganism. Its description in RNAcentral is "bacterial SSU rRNA". It matches the Rfam family "Archaeal small subunit ribosomal RNA", at positions 330 to 745 of the family's 1478-position model. The record is from RNAcentral.